GCGUCUCUCGCCUUGGUCGCUGGAGAUCGAAAAAAAAGAAGAAGAAAGAGAGAGAUCUGAGAUUGGACGAAUCUUGCUUAGCCUUUCGUGGUCACUGCUUUCUUCCCUUCCACCGUAGCUGGAGCUGCGUUCGCGUAGCUCAUCGUCGCUGGUGUGCUCGUGGCUGGUCCUUCCAUUUCCGUUAGGAUUUUCCCUGUUUCUACGUCAUUCUCCCUUGUACGAGCUCAGCGUUCCACCAUGUUAAGUCGUUGAAAUGGGUACUGCUGGUUUAGGCUGAGGCGACACUGACUCUGGUUUUCUUUUCUUCUGAACGGUGCUGCGUCUCCCUCUGUUUCUUGCAUCAGCUGGAGAGUUCCGUUUUUCUCCCCUGUUUUGCUGUAGAUUCUAUCUUCUUUGCUGCCUCUGCCAUUACUGGUGUUUAAGGGUGUGUGGAAGAACAAGACCCUGAAAAGACUUAAAAGAAGAAUACUUUCGGGAGUUAGAACUUCAACAGAUUGGUUAGCUGACGCCGAUUCCACCAACGACCUCAAAAAGGGGCAACUAGCUACAGUGGGUGGAUCCUUUUGAUUGGUAUUGCCACUUUAAUGUAAAUAUAUGAAUUGUAUGUCUUUUUGAAUCGAAAGAAAGAGUAGAUGCUCCACAUAGGUUGUUGAUGAAUCUUAUUUUUGCCUGUACAUUGGUUGCUGGCUGGAAGGAGCUAUGCUCCUGACUUAUACUGUUAGAUGUAAAAAUUUUUGUUGUAGAAUUUUCGGGAGAUCCUAGUUACAGGGGAGGUUCUGCCGAAAUUUCUGCAAAUAUGUCAACAUUUAAAAAAAAAUGAAAAAAAAAAUGAAUGACAUGAAAUCAAUGUUCAUUUGGAGGCUUACGGGAAUGUGAGAAUGGUUC
This is a long non-coding RNA of Prosopis cineraria, 885 nucleotides long. RefSeq lists it as uncharacterized. Lineage: Eukaryota; Viridiplantae; Streptophyta; Magnoliopsida; Fabales; Fabaceae. The transcript is spliced from 3 exons. The record is from RefSeq and is a predicted model, not a curated record.